UACGUAGGGUGCAAGCGUUGUCCGGAAUUAUUGGGCGUAAAGAGCUCGUAGGCGGUUUGUCGCGUCGGCUGUGAAAACCUAGGGCUCAACCCUGGGCUUGCAGCCGAUACGGGCAAACUAGAAUUCGGUAGGGGAGACUGGAAUUCCUGGUGUAGCGGUGAAAUGCGCAGAUAUCAGGAGGAACACCGGUGGCGAAGGCGGCGACCUGGGUAGAUACUGACGCUGAGGUGCGAAAGCGUGGGGAGCAAACAGG
Molecule: ribosomal RNA, 253 nt
Filed under: uncultured bacterium
Lineage: Bacteria
Description: partial 16S ribosomal RNA
Rfam family: Bacterial small subunit ribosomal RNA
Source: RNAcentral